UGAGAACUGUGGAUCAGGGAUGCAGCAGCUUUCCCAAGGUCCCACCCACGGACUGGACGCAGUGGCAGGUGGUGGAGGGAAGGAAGAAAUGCGAGGUUAAAGGAACCUUGUUGGACUGGCUAAAAUGGCUUGUUUGAACCACUAAUGCCAUCAGGGGGCUCCACCCUGAUGACUUCAUCUCACCCUAAUUACCUUUUAAAGGCCUCACCUCCAAAUUCCAUUCAUAUACAAGUUUGGGGAUUAUAUUUCCAACACAUGAACUAUGUCCACCAACUACAAUUUUCUACUUUGUUUCUGUGAAUUUGACUACUCUA
This is a non-coding RNA of Marmota flaviventris (yellow-bellied marmot), 314 nucleotides long. Lineage: Eukaryota; Metazoa; Chordata; Mammalia; Rodentia; Sciuridae. The record is from RefSeq and is a predicted model, not a curated record.